RNAcentral lists this long non-coding RNA (200 nucleotides) under Capsicum annuum. Its description in RNAcentral is "long non-coding RNA (CANN_LNC018286)". Lineage: Eukaryota; Viridiplantae; Streptophyta; Magnoliopsida; Solanales; Solanaceae. The record is from RNAcentral.
GAAAAUCAAGGACAUCUCGGGGUUUUGGGAUUGAACGGGAAGAAGCACGAUUUAUAACGGAUUUCGGUGACCAGUUUGCCGAAAAAAAAACUCAAGGGGGCGAUCGGAACUCCGUCAAACGCCGGUUUUGCUACUCUGUUCGCUGAACCUACGCCAAUCACCCUCCAUUUUUUUUCUUUACUGAGUGCGUGUGUGCGGUG